GACGAACGCUGGCGGCGUGCUUAACACAUGCAAGUCGAACGGAAAGGCCCUGCUUUUGUGGGGUGCUCGAGUGGCGAGCGGGUGAGUAACACGUGAGUAACCUGCCCUUGACUUUGGGAUAACUUCAGGAAACUGGGGCUAAUACCGGAUAGGAGCUCCUGCUGCAUGGUGGGGGUUGGAAAGUUUCGGCGGUUGGGGAUGGACUCGCGGCUUAUCAGCUUGUUGGUGGGGUAGUGGCUUACCAAGGCUUUGACGGGUAGCCGGCCUGAGAGGGUGACCGGCCACAUUGGGACUGAGAUACGGCCCAGACUCCUACGGGAGGCAGCAGUGGGGAAUAUUGCACAAUGGGCGGAAGCCUGAUGCAGCAACGCCGCGUGCGGGAUGACGGCCUUCGGGUUGUAAACCGCUUUCGCCUGUGACGAAGCGUGAGUGACGGUAACGGGUAAAGAAGCACCGGCUAACUACGUG
Molecule: ribosomal RNA, 468 nt
Filed under: uncultured bacterium
Lineage: Bacteria
Description: partial 16S ribosomal RNA
Rfam family: Bacterial small subunit ribosomal RNA
Source: RNAcentral